GCAAGUCGAACGAUAACGGAUCUUAGCUUUCUAAGAUUGUCAGCUAAGUGGCGCACGGGUGAGUAAUAUAUAUGUAACAUGCCUUCGAGAAGGGCAUAACGUUUGGAAACGAACGCUAAUACCCUAUAUGCCUUUAAGUCUUAAGACUGCAAGGGAAAUAUUUAUAGCUCGAAGAUUGGCCUGCACAGUAUCAGUUAGUUGGUGAGGUAAUGGCUCACCAAGACAAUGACGCUUAGCUGGUUUGAGAGGAUGAUC
Molecule: ribosomal RNA, 255 nt
Filed under: uncultured bacterium
Lineage: Bacteria
Description: partial 16S ribosomal RNA
Rfam family: Bacterial small subunit ribosomal RNA
Source: RNAcentral